CUGGCGGCGUGCCUAAUACAUGCAAGUCGAACGGUCUUUCUAUGGAAGCUUGCUUCCACUGAGAAGAUAGUGGCGAACGGGUGAGUAACACGUGGGUAACCUGCCCAUAAGAGGGGGAUAACAUCCGGAAACGGGUGCUAAUACCGCAUAGUUUUCUUGAUCGCAUGAUCGGGAAAGGAAAGACGGCCUUUGUGCUGUCGCUUAUGGAUGGACCCGCGGCGUAUUAGUUAGUUGGUGAGGUAACGGCUCACCAAGACGAUGAUACGUAGCCGACCUGAGAGGGUGAUCGGCCACAUUGGGACUGAGACACGGCCCAAACUCCUACGGGAGGCAGCAGUAGGGAAUCUUCCGCAAUGGACGAAAGUCUGACGGAGCAACGCCGCGUGAGUGAAGAAGGUUUUCGGAAUCGUAAAACUCUGUUGUCAGAGAAGAACAAGUUGGAGAGUAACUGCUCCAGCCUUGACGGUAUCUGACCAGAAAGCCACGGCUAACUACGUGCCAGCAGCUGC
This 509-nucleotide ribosomal RNA is filed under the name uncultured bacterium. RNAcentral describes it as "bacterial SSU rRNA". It matches the Rfam family "Bacterial small subunit ribosomal RNA", at positions 36 to 518 of the family's 1533-position model. The record is from RNAcentral.